GACGAACGCUGGCGGCGUGCCUAAUACAUGCAAGUAGAACGCUGAAGGAGGAGCUUGCUUCUCUGGAUGAGUUGCGAACGGGUGAGUAACGCGUAGGUAACCUGCCUGGUAGCGGGGGAUAACUAUUGGAAACGAUAGCUAAUACCGCAUAACAGUAGAUGUUGCAUGACAUUUGCUUAAAAGGUGCAAUUGCAUCACUACCAGAUGGACCUGCGUUGUAUUAGCUAGUUGGUGGGGUAACGGCUCACCAAGGCGACGAUACAUAGCCGACCUGAGAGGGUGAUCGGCCACACUGGGACUGAGACACGACCCAGACUCCUACGGGAGGCAGCAGUAGGGAAUCUUCGGCAAUGGACGGAAGUCUGACCGAGCAACGCCGCGUGAGUGAAGAAGGUUUUCGGAUCGUAAGCUCUGUUGUAAGAGAAGAACGAGUGUGAGAGUGGAAAGUUCACACUGUGACGGUAUCUACCA
RNAcentral lists this ribosomal RNA (471 nucleotides) under Streptococcus mitis. RNAcentral's name for it is "bacterial SSU rRNA". It matches the Rfam family "Bacterial small subunit ribosomal RNA", at positions 28 to 485 of the family's 1533-position model. Lineage: Bacteria; Bacillati; Bacillota; Bacilli; Lactobacillales; Streptococcaceae. The record is from RNAcentral.